UUUCCGUAGUGAACUGCGGAAGGAUCAUUAAUAAAUUUUUUUGAAAUAAAAAAAAAUAAUAAUCAUCUACCUUGUGAAUUUGUUUGUUGAAUAUUUUUUAAAAUUAUUUAUUGUCUAUCCAAGUUGGAAGUUGUAAAAGACUCGAAGACUUGGAGCGCAUAAAUAAAUUUAAGACUUUUUCUAAAUUAAACUUUUGUAUUCAUUGUCUAAAAUAUUUAUAAUAUAUAAAAACAACUUUUGACAAUGGAUCUCUUGGUUCUCGCAACGAUGAAGAACGCAGCAAAUGCGAUAAGUAAUGUGAAUUGCAGAAUACGUAAUCAUCGAAUCUUCGAACGCAUAUUGCACUUUCUAGUUUACUAAAAAGUAUGUCUGUUGAGUAUCAGUAAAAUAUCUCAUAAAUUUUUAAUUUUAUGUUAUGAGUGUUUACAACGAUAAACAAGUUGUUUCACUUUAAUUGAAUUUUUUGAGAAUUCUUAAUUCAAUUAAAUUGGAUAAAUUUCCCGUAAAAGGAUAACUAUACAAGUUUAAUAAGAAUUUAGUGAUUUUUUAUGAAAGAAAUUUAUUAAAUAACUUGAUCUCAAAUCAAUAAGAGUACCCGCUGAACUUAAGAUAUCAAUAAGCGGAGGAAAGAACUAACAAGGAUUCCCUAGUAACGGCGAGUGAAGCGGAAGAGCUCAAUUGAAAUCUUAAAGGGUUCCUUUACGAUUGUGUUUAAAGAAGGUUUUCUGUGAGUUUUGUAAAAGUUCUUUGAAUAGGACAUCAUAGAGGUGAGAAUCCGUAUUGACCUUUACUUUCAACUUUGUGAUACACUUUCAAAGAGUCGGAUGUUGGAAUGCAGUCCAAAUGGGGUAAAUUCAUCUAAAGCUAAAUAUGGCGAAAGACCGAUAGCGACAAGUACCGUGAGGAAAGAUGAAAAGAACUUGAAAGAGAGUAAACAGUACGUGAAAUGUCAAAAGGAAGCGUUUGAACCAGUGUUGUUUUCUGAAAUCAAUAAGAACUGUUUAUGCUAAUGUUUAGACUUAUCAGCUAACUGUUAGUUUUGAGCUUUCUUUAAUGCACUUUCAGUUAACAAGUCAACAUCAACUUCUUUUGCUGUAAAAAGCUUGAGGAAGGUGGCUUGAAUUCGUCUUAAGUUUUAGCCUUGCCUAUGCAGUCGGAAGAUUGAGUUGCAGCGUAGAUCCUUCGGGCUAAAUGCAUUGUGCUAAGUUAUAGCAUUUAUAGAUAACUGUGACAUGAUUGUCUUGUAGCUACUCGCUUAUGUUAUUUUACCUACGCUUAGGAUGU
Molecule: unclassified non-coding RNA, 1284 nt
Filed under: uncultured Neocallimastigales
Lineage: Eukaryota; Fungi; Neocallimastigomycota; Neocallimastigomycetes; Neocallimastigales
Description: partial contains small subunit ribosomal RNA, internal transcribed spacer 1, 5.8S ribosomal RNA, internal transcribed spacer 2, and large subunit ribosomal RNA
Rfam family: Eukaryotic large subunit ribosomal RNA (bases 573-1284)
Source: RNAcentral